AUACGUAGGUGGCAAGCGUUGUCCGGAAUUACUGGGUGUAAAGGGUGCGUAGGCGGGACUGCAAGUCAGACGUGAAAUGCCGGGGCUCAACCCCGGAGCUGCAUUUGAAACUGUGGUUCUUGAGUGAGGUAGAGGUAAGCGGAAUUCCUAGUGUAGCGGUGAAAUGCGUAGAUAUUAGGAGGAACAUCGGUGGCGAAGGCGGCUUACUGGGCCUUUACUGACGCUGAGGCACGAAAGCGUGGGGAGCAAACAGGAUUAGAUACCCUGGUAGUCCACGCUGUAAACGAUGAUGACUAGGUGUGGGGGGACUGAACCCUUCCGUGCCGCAGUUAACACAAUAAGUCAUCCACCUGGGGAGUACGGCCGCAAGGUUGAAACUCAAAUGAAUUGGCGGGG
RNAcentral lists this ribosomal RNA (396 nucleotides) under uncultured bacterium. RNAcentral describes it as "partial 16S ribosomal RNA". It matches the Rfam family "Bacterial small subunit ribosomal RNA", at positions 523 to 918 of the family's 1533-position model. The record is from RNAcentral.